This is a long non-coding RNA of Polypterus senegalus (gray bichir), 300 nucleotides long. RefSeq lists it as uncharacterized. The transcript has 4 exons. The record is from RefSeq and is a predicted model, not a curated record. Lineage: Eukaryota; Metazoa; Chordata; Cladistia; Polypteriformes; Polypteridae.
UCAAGGGCUUCUCAUGACCGAAGCACACAUUGUGCUGCUUGGAUAAACUGCUAGCAGUGAAAAGUCAAAAAGGACACGAGGGCAAAUACAAGUUUGAUCUGAUAAUAUACAUCCAAGUUGACACACACUGGUUGAGAUAGCUAUGAAGGGAAAACUCCUUCAAACACAACAACAACCUGGAUACACUUAGAAUGACUGGAGCCAAUAUAUUGUAUGUGAGAAAAAAAUAAUGGAAUUGCCAUUACCAGUUUGGAUUCUGCUAAUGAAAGGGAGAUGGAACAAGGCUAGAGGUUAUUUGGA